This 398-nucleotide ribosomal RNA is filed under the name uncultured bacterium. Its description in RNAcentral is "partial 16S ribosomal RNA". It matches the Rfam family "Bacterial small subunit ribosomal RNA", at positions 523 to 918 of the family's 1533-position model. The record is from RNAcentral.
AUACGUAGGGUGCGAGCGUUGUCCGGAAUUACUGGGCGUAAAGAGCUCGUAGGUGGUUUGUCGCGUCGUCUGUGAAAUUCCGGGACUUAACUCCGGGCGUGCAGGCGAUACGGGCAUAACUUGAGUACUGUAGGGGAGACUGGAAUUCCUGGUGUAGCGGUGAAAUGCGCAGAUAUCAGGAGGAACACCGGUGGCGAAGGCGGGUCUCUGGGCAGUAACUGACGCUGAGGAGCGAAAGCAUGGGUAGCGAACAGGAUUAGAUACCCUGGUAGUCCAUGCCGUAAACGGUGGGCGCUAGGUGUAGGGGUCUUCCACGACUUCUGUGCCGUAGCUAACGCAUUAAGCGCCCCGCCUGGGGAGUACGGCCGCAAGGCUAAAACUCAAAGGAAUUGACGGGG